This is a long non-coding RNA of Homo sapiens (human), 430 nucleotides long. The record is from Ensembl. Lineage: Eukaryota; Metazoa; Chordata; Mammalia; Primates; Hominidae.
GCAAGUGGGUGCAUAGAGAAUGCUAGUGUUUUCUAAAAGUCCUGAGAUUUUUGAGAUGCAUAUGGCAUCCUAUAUUCCUGUUCUAUUAAUAGAUGUGCCGUCUUAGUGAUUAUUUGACCUAAUCAUAUUUGUAACUUUUAAAAUAUUUCCCUUUCCCCUUCUAGUUUUGAAAAUGGGCUCAAAAUCUAUUUAAAUUCAUUAGUUAUGAAAAAGAGAGCUCUUUCUUCCCUUUCCUGUUAGGCGAGAGCUGCCGGAGGCAAGGGUCUCCGAUGCCGUUUCUUGUUCUCAUCAUGUAGACAAAACAGCCCUGCUGCAAAGAUGGUCAACGUACCUAAAACCGGAAGAACCUUCUGUAAGAAGUGUGGCAAGCAUCAGCCUCACAAAGUGACACAGUAUAAGAAGGGUAAGGAUUCUUUGUAUGCCUAGGGAA